UGCAACUGCAACAAUCUCUCUUGCUUAAGACAAUCGUGAGGUGCAACGUCUUCUUACUUUCUACUUUUUUCUUGAUCUGGAGCGUGAGUUGCCCUGACUUCCCCUCCGAGACUGCCUCUUAACUUAUCUUGGAUAUCUCUGAUGUCCAAAGAUCUUCAAUUUUGUGAGGUGUCCUUGUUGUUAUAUAUCUGAGAUUAUGUUAAAAAGAGCUCGGGCUAAUUCUUGUAUGUGAAAAAGGGCUCGAGGCUAUUCUAUCAGAAACUGUUUUUGUUGUAUUAUGUUUGUAAGUACUUUAAGAAGCCACUUUGCUUCUUAUAUUUGUACGGCUGGUUGAUAUUAUCAGCCUUUCCCCAGAAGACAACUCUUCUAUAUGUAUCAAGGAAAGUAGAUUAUCGAGGUAGGAAAAACAAGUCUGGUCCCAGAAGCAGGAGCCGACCUUUGAGUUCACCGUCACUGUCUUUGUUAUCCUCUUCUGGUGUUUGCAUAUUGAUCUCUUAGUUCUGCCAGUAUUAUAAGAAAGACCAACAUGUUUCUCAUUCUGAAUAUGUACAGCCAAUGUGCAGCUAGUGUUGUUAAUUUGCAUGUGUUAUGAAUAUGCAUGGGUUUUUUGGUCAAGAAUAUAGCGAAGUUUUGAGUGUUGACUUGUAAUGGGUUUGCAG
RNAcentral lists this long non-coding RNA (659 nucleotides) under Prunus persica (peach). Its description in RNAcentral is "long non-coding RNA (PPER_LNC008356)". Lineage: Eukaryota; Viridiplantae; Streptophyta; Magnoliopsida; Rosales; Rosaceae. The record is from RNAcentral.